Molecule: non-coding RNA, 187 nt
Filed under: Candidatus Latescibacterota bacterium
Lineage: Bacteria; Pseudomonadati; Candidatus Latescibacterota
Description: 6S RNA
Rfam family: 6S / SsrS RNA
About the family: E. coli 6S RNA was the first non coding RNA to be sequenced, but its function was unknown until recently. It consists of 184 nucleotides that fold into an extended hairpin structure with a large single-stranded internal bulge. The 6S RNA specifically associates with RNA polymerase holoenzyme containing the sigma70 specificity factor.
Source: RNAcentral
AAUUCCCUGCUGUGUUUGUGUGGGCGAAGAUCAUUUUUUGCCAACACUUUGAGCCCGGAGAUCCAAACGCUGGUUUAGGAUGCCAUGCCUGGCUAUGCCGGGAAGGUUGAGAAAGCCGCUGGGAUUUCCACCUUGUUGAUUUGGGCUUAAAAAGGUCCUUCCUUCACGGCACUUUAGUGGGGAAUUU